GACGAACGCUGGCGGCGUGCUUAACACAUGCAAGUCGAACGGAAAGGCCCUGCUUUUGUGGGGUGCUCGAGUGGCGAACGGGUGAGUAACACGUGAGUAACCUGCCCUUGACUUUGGGAUAACUUCAGGAAACUGGGGCUAAUACCGGAUAGGAGCUCCUGCUGCAUGGUGGGGGUUGGAAAGUUUCGGCGGUUGGGGAUGGACUCGCGGCUUAUCAGCUUGUUGGUGGGGUAGUGGCUUACCAAGGCUUUGACGGGUAGCCGGCCUGAGAGGGUGACCGGCCACAUUGGGACUGAGAUACGGACCAGACUCCUACGGGAGGAAGCAGUGGGGAAUAUUGCAAAAUGGGCGGAAGCCUGAUGCAGCAACGCCGCGUGCGGGAUGACGGCCUUCGGGUUGUAAACCGCUUUCGCCUGUGACGAAGCGUGAGUGACGGUAAUGGGUAAAGAAGCACCGGCUAACUACGUG
Molecule: ribosomal RNA, 468 nt
Filed under: uncultured bacterium
Lineage: Bacteria
Description: partial 16S ribosomal RNA
Rfam family: Bacterial small subunit ribosomal RNA
Source: RNAcentral